Molecule: long non-coding RNA, 1032 nt
Filed under: Macaca mulatta (Rhesus monkey)
Lineage: Eukaryota; Metazoa; Chordata; Mammalia; Primates; Cercopithecidae
Description: lncRNA (ENSMMUG00000051735.1)
Source: RNAcentral
AGGACAUAUUUUUUGAUGGCUAAAUAGUGUUAUAUAGAGAUACUAUCUAUGCCCCGUUCUAAGUUCUUGUUUCUCUAAGUUUGGCAUCUCAGCUUCACCCUAGGACUGGAACUCAAGUGAGCUCUUCUACUACCCAAGAACUGAAACUCUGCUCCUAAAUCCGAGCUAGGAGAUAGGGCUUUGCGUGUAAUUUACAAUCUGUGUCUUCUGUUGUCUUGUGAACUUCUAAGGAUAAGAGUUGAGCUCCCAGAGUGCCUGGAACUUAGUGAACAUUCAACCCAAUGCCUGUGGAUAACUGAAAAAAUUAACCAUGCACUGCAAAGGACUCCUCUGCCAACAGCCCAUAUGAAGGAAUAUAACCAGCACUUGGCCUCCCUCUUUAAUUUGGUCUUGAAUGUGGAUACAAUCGCUGGAGAUACAGCAGCUGUCUUGCCAUUAUGAGGGAGGAAAAGACUAGGAGAAUUGCAGAGACAUUCGCUGUACAAUCACUGCAGUGUCGUUAGCAAAUAUCUACCUCUAGACAUCUCGCUGUAUGAGAAAAAUAAACCCCAUUUUGUUUAAGCCACUGUAGUUGGGUUUUAUGUUAAACGCAGCCACAUUGUUUUCAACAAACACCCCUGUCAUUGCCACAAUAAGACAGGUGGAAGUCAUCAAAGAAGAUCAUAUUGUUGCUUUGGUUCUGCAAGUGGUGUUCUGGUACCUAAGCUUGGGUAAGACUGACUAGGAAAGGGUAGUUGGCAGGGCCUGGAAGGGAGGGUUGCUGAGUGACACGAACAGGGACUUUGAUUGCUAGGAAACCUCCCAGUGAGACCAGUUCCGAAUAGGGAGAUCAACACAUGGCCAAGGGCAAGACCCACAUCCCAGGGAAAGGGUGGAAAAGUAUUCAAUAGAUGGCAAAAUAUAGUGAUGAAGCAACAUAGUGCAGUGCAAAGCAGAUGAGUCUAGGGGCCAAAGAAAUGGGAAAUUGAGUCCUUAUUCUGCCACUUCUUCUUGGAUGUAUGACUUGGUGAAAUUAUUCCACUAUUAUUGGCC